This 127-nucleotide ribosomal RNA is filed under the name uncultured bacterium. RNAcentral's name for it is "partial 16S ribosomal RNA". The record is from RNAcentral.
CCGAUGCUUAUUCUUCAGGUACACGUCAUUUUGUUCCUCCCUGAAAAAAGAGGUUUACAACCCAUAGGCCGUCAUCCCUCACGCGGUAUUGCUCCGUCAGGCUUUCGCCCAUUGCGGAAAAUUCCCC